ACGCACGCUGGCGGCGUGCCUAAUACAUGCAAGUCGAGCGAAGUUUUUCUGGUGCUUGCACUAGAAAAACUUAGCGGCGAACGGGUGAGUAACACGUAAAGAACCUGCCUCAUAGACUGGGACAACUAUUGGAAACGAUAGCUAAUACCGGAUAACAGCAUUAACUGCAUGGUUGAUGUUUAAAAGUUGGUUUUGCUAACACUAUGAGAUGGCUUUGCGGUGCAUUAGCUAGUUGGUGGGGUAAAGGCCUACCAAGGCGACGAUGCAUAGCCGACCUGCGAGGGUGAUCGGCCACACUGGGACUGAGACACGGCCCAGACUCCUACGGGAGGCAGCAGUAGGGAAUCUUCCGCAAUGGGCGAAAGCCUGACGGAGCAACGCCGCGUGAGUGAAGAAGGAUUUCGGUUCGUAAAGCUCUGUUGUUAGGGAAGAAUGAUUGUGUAGUAACUAUACACAGUAGAGACGGUACCUAACCAGAAAGCCACGGCUAACUACGUG
RNAcentral lists this ribosomal RNA (498 nucleotides) under uncultured bacterium. RNAcentral's name for it is "partial 16S ribosomal RNA". It matches the Rfam family "Bacterial small subunit ribosomal RNA", at positions 29 to 507 of the family's 1533-position model. The record is from RNAcentral.